RNAcentral lists this unclassified non-coding RNA (166 nucleotides) under uncultured fungus. RNAcentral describes it as "sequence contains ITS1". Lineage: Eukaryota; Fungi. The record is from RNAcentral.
CCAGGAGUCUGCGCCCUCGGGCGCAACCCCCCACCCCACUGUGUACGCUCUGAAUAGAAUUGGUUGCCUUGGCGGCGAGCCGGCCCGCCGGUCGGCCCCCGCCGGGGGGACUCUGUCGAAACCCUUGCGAAACAGGCGCGUCUGAGUUAUAGAAUUUAAUAAGUCA